GAUGAACGCUGGCGGUGUGCCUAAUACAUGCGAGUCGAGCGGACGGACGAGAAGCUUGCUUCUCUGAUGUUAGCGGCGGGCGUGUGAGUAACACGUGGAUAACCCACCUAUAAGACUGGGAUAACUUCGGGAAACCGGAGCUAAUACCGGAUAAUAUUUUCAACCGCAUGGUUCAAAAGUGAAAGACGGUCUGGCUGUCACUUAUAGAUGGAUCCGCGCUGCAUUAGCUAGUUGGUAAGGUAACGGCUUACCAAGGCAACGAUGCAUAGCCGACCUGAGAGGGUGAUCGGCCACACUGGACCUGAGACACGGUCCAGACUCCUACGGGAGGCAGCAGUAGGGAAUCUUCCGCAAUGGGCGAAAGCCUGACGGAGCAACGCCGCGUGAGUGAUGAAGGUCUUCGGAUCGUAAAACUCUGUUAUUAGGGAAGAACAUAUGUGUAAGUAACUGUGCACAUCUUGACGGUACCUAAUCAGAAAGCCACGGCUAACUACGUG
Molecule: ribosomal RNA, 497 nt
Filed under: uncultured bacterium
Lineage: Bacteria
Description: partial 16S ribosomal RNA
Rfam family: Bacterial small subunit ribosomal RNA
Source: RNAcentral